Hemicordylus capensis (graceful crag lizard) is the source of this 910-nucleotide long non-coding RNA. RefSeq lists it as uncharacterized. NCBI's taxonomy places the organism in Eukaryota, Metazoa, Chordata, Lepidosauria, Squamata, Cordylidae. The record is from RefSeq and is a predicted model, not a curated record. The transcript is spliced from 4 exons.
UGGUAGUUACGCCCCUGCUGUAGGUAUCCAGUUCAUCCUGUCACCAACCCCUUGCCAAGACAGAGAGGAAAAUGCACCCUCUUGGAGGGGCCUGCUUGUCUAUUCACGUUAGGAAGGGAAGAGAUGACUGGUCUACCCAACCCAGGAAUAUCCAUUGCCCACGAAAGAAGGGGAAGGGCUGACAAAGCAAUGUGGAUGACAGAGAUCCCUCUCAUUUUCCUUCCUGCUAGAACUCUGCAGAACUCCCCAGUUUGGGCCACCAUGUGGCGAAACUUGGAAUCUGCAUAAUGGAUUGCAGGAAGGAUGUCAGCCGAUACGCCAGGGAGGGAAUCUACCGGCUCCUAGAGGUGCUUCUCCACCACAAAGGUUUUCAGGGAGAUCUUUAAUAAAGAUCAGGAAAGAUCCUUCCUGAGGACCACGAUUUGGGCCAUUAAUCAUCCCGUCCACAUGGUUAAGGAGGCUGGACUGAUCCUGCUGUACUCCCUCCUGGGCAAGGCCGAUGCACUGAUGGGGUAUGAGGAGGAGGAAAUCCGGAGGAAAAUCUGGCGUCGUCUCCGCCAAAUCAAAGAAAGCAAAGGGCUGCCUGAAGAAAUCGAAGGUAUCUUAAAAAACCAAGGUGACUUACUGAUGGACCUUGGAGUUGUAGCUAAGCCGACUACCCUCCCAUGACACCUUCUUCCUUGUGGGGCAAUAGUUAUGGAAAUGUCUGCUGAUUUGCUUUGCUGUACUUAUUAUACUAAUUACCUUAGGAUGCUGUAUUCAGUGUGUACCUGGUCUGAUUGCUAUGUGUAAACCUAAACUUAAAUUUUGGCCUAACAAAAGGGCCAACGGUAAUGUAGCUCAAUUCAUUGCUUUGCAAUAUCUUGAGAUGCAUGUUCAUGAGGCUUAAUAAAGGUUCGCUCUCUAGUGA